RNAcentral lists this ribosomal RNA (1372 nucleotides) under uncultured bacterium. RNAcentral describes it as "bacterial SSU rRNA". It matches the Rfam family "Bacterial small subunit ribosomal RNA", at positions 28 to 1381 of the family's 1533-position model. The record is from RNAcentral.
GAUGAACGCUGGCGGCGUGCCUAAUACAUGCAAGUCGAGCGAACGGACGAGAAGCUUGCUUCUCUGAUGUUAGCGGCGGACGGGUGAGUAACACGUGGAUAACCUACCUAUAAGACUGGGAUAACUUCGGGAAACCGGAGCUAAUACCGGAUAAUAUUUUGAUCUGCAUGGUUCAAAAGUAAAAGACGGUCUUGCUGUCACUUAUAGAUGGAUCCGCGCUGCAUUAGCUAGUUGGUAAGGUAACGGCUUACCAAGGCAACGAUGCAUAGCCGACCUGAGAGGGUGAUCGGCCACACUGGAACUGAGACACGGUCCAGACUCCUACGGGAGGCAGCAGUAGGGAAUCUUCCGCAAUGGGCGAAAGCCUGACGGAGCAACGCCGCGUGAGUGAUGAAGGUCUUCGGAUCGUAAAACUCUGUUAUUAGGGAAGAACAUAUGUGUAAGUAACUGUGCACAUCUUGACGGUACCUAAUCAGAAAGCCACGGCUAACUACGUGCCAGCAGCCGCGGUAAUACGUAGGUGGCAAGCGUUAUCCGGAAUUAUUGGGCGUAAAGCGCGCGUAGGCGGUUUUUUAAGUCUGAUGUGAAAGCCCACGGCUCAACCGUGGAGGGUCAUUGGAAACUGGAAAACUUGAGUGCAGAAGAGGAAAGUGGAAUUCCAUGUGUAGCGGUGAAAUGCGCAGAGAUAUGGAGGAACACCAGUGGCGAAGGCGACUUUCUGGUCUGUAACUGACGCUGAUGUGCGAAAGCGUGGGGAUCAAACAGGAUUAGAUACCCUGGUAGUCCACGCCGUAAACGAUGAGUGCUAAGUGUUAGGGGGUUUCCGCCCCUUAGUGCUGCAGCUAACGCAUUAAGCACUCCGCCUGGGGAGUACGACCGCAAGGUUGAAACUCAAAGGAAUUGACGGGGACCCGCACAAGCGGUGGAGCAUGUGGUUUAAUUCGAAGCAACGCGAAGAACCUUACCAAAUCUUGACAUCCUUUGACAACUCUAGAGAUAGAGCCUUCCCCUUCGGGGGACAAAGUGACAGGUGGUGCAUGGUUGUCGUCAGCUCGUGUCGUGAGAUGUUGGGUUAAGUCCCGCAACGAGCGCAACCCUUAAGCUUAGUUGCCAUCAUUAAGUUGGGCACUCUAAGUUGACUGCCGGUGACAAACCGGAGGAAGGUGGGGAUGACGUCAAAUCAUCAUGCCCCUUAUGAUUUGGGCUACACACGUGCUACAAUGGACAAUACAAAGGGCAGCGAAACCGCGAGGUCAAGCAAAUCCCAUAAAGUUGUUCUCAGUUCGGAUUGUAGUCUGCAACUCGACUACAUGAAGCUGGAAUCGCUAGUAAUCGUAGAUCAGCAUGCUACGGUGAAUACGUUCCCGGGUCU